This 482-nucleotide long non-coding RNA is filed under the name Mytilus galloprovincialis (Mediterranean mussel). Lineage: Eukaryota; Metazoa; Mollusca; Bivalvia; Mytilida; Mytilidae. The record is from RNAcentral.
GUUAUUGUUGCAAACUCCAUUAGAAAUUUGAAUUGAUAUCAGUUUUGGAAAAAGGGAAACGGGGAUGUGAAAAAAAAGGGGGGGGGUUUAAAAAUUUUUCUCAUUUCAGAUUUCAUAAAUAAAAAGAAAAUUUCUUCAAACAUUUUUUUUGAGAGGAUUAAUAUUCAACAGCAUAGUGAAUUGCUCAAAGGCAAAAAAAAUAUUUUAAGUUCAUUAGACCACAUUCAUUCUGUGUCAGAAACCUAUGCUGUGUCAACUAUUUAAUUUUAGAUUUAAAAAGUUUGAAGAAGAAAUCUUUAAUUGAUUUGUAAAAUCUUGACAUUUGUUUUGUGUAAAAAAAAAAACAUGUAAUGUCAAAAAUUUGAUCACAAUCCAAAAUUCAGAGCUGUGUAUCACGCUUGAAUGUUUUGUCCAUACUUGCCCCAACUGUUCAGGGUUCGACCUCUGCGGUCGUAUAAAGCUGCGCCCUGCGGAGCACCUGG